AGUGAACGCUGACGGUAGGCCUAACACAUGCAAGUCGAACGGCAGCACAGUAAGAGCUUGCUCUUACGGGUGGCGAGUGGCGGACGGGUGAGGAAUACAUCGGAAUCUACUUUUUCGUGGGGGAUAACGUAGGGAAACUUACGCUAAUACCGCAUACGACCUACGGGUGAAGGCAGGGGAUCUUCGGACCUUGCGCGAUUGAAUGAGCCGAUGUCGGAUUAGCUAGUUGGCGGGGUAAAGGCCCACCAAGGCGACGAUCCGUAGCUGGUCUGAGAGGAUGAUCAGCCACACUGGAACUGAGACACGGUCCAGACUCCUACGGGAGGCAGCAGUGGGGAAUAUUGGACAAUGGGCGCAAGCCUGAUCCAGCCAUACCGCGUGGGUGAAGAAGGCCUUCGGGUUGUAAAGCCCUUUUGUUGGGAAAGAAAAGCAGCAGGUUAAUACCCCGCUGUUCUGACGGUACCCAAAGAAUAAGCACCGGCUAACUUCGU
RNAcentral lists this ribosomal RNA (491 nucleotides) under uncultured bacterium. Its description in RNAcentral is "partial 16S ribosomal RNA". It matches the Rfam family "Bacterial small subunit ribosomal RNA", at positions 29 to 506 of the family's 1533-position model. The record is from RNAcentral.